ACGACUCUCGGCAACGGAUAUCUCGGCUCUCGCAUCGAUGAAGAACGUAGCGAAAUGCGAUACUUGGUGUGAAUUGCAGAAUCCCGUGAACCAUCGAGUCUUUGAACGCAAGUUGCGCCCGAAGCCUUCGGGCCAAGGGCACGUCUGCCUGGGCGUCA
RNAcentral lists this ribosomal RNA (158 nucleotides) under Persicaria orientalis. RNAcentral's name for it is "5.8S ribosomal RNA". It matches the Rfam family "5.8S ribosomal RNA". From Rfam's summary of the family: 5.8S ribosomal RNA (5.8S rRNA) is a component of the large subunit of the eukaryotic ribosome. The record is from RNAcentral. Lineage: Eukaryota; Viridiplantae; Streptophyta; Magnoliopsida; Caryophyllales; Polygonaceae.